GACGAACGCUGGCGGCGUGCUUAACACAUGCAAGUCGAACGGAAAGGCCCUGCUUUUGUGGGGUGCUCGAGUGGCGAACGGGUGAGUAACACGUGAGUAACCUGCCCUUGACUUUGGGAUAACUUCAGGAAACUGGGGCUAAUACCGGAUAGGAGCUCCUGCUGCAUGGUGGGGGUUGGAAAGUUUCGGCGGUUGGGGAUGGACUCGCGGCUUAUCAGCUUGUUGGUGGGGUAGUGGCUUACCAAGGCUUUGACGGGUAGCCGGCCUGAGAGGGUGACCGGCCACAUUGGGACUGAGAUACGGCCCGGACUCCUACGGGAGGCAGCAGUGGGGAAUAUUGCACAAUGGGCGGAAGCCUGAUGCAGCAUCGCCGCGUGCGGGAUGACGGCCUUCGGGUUGUAACCCGCUUUCGCCUGUGACGAAGCGUGAGUGACGGUAAUGGGUAAAGAAGCACCGGCUAACUACGUG
This 468-nucleotide ribosomal RNA is filed under the name uncultured bacterium. RNAcentral's name for it is "partial 16S ribosomal RNA". It matches the Rfam family "Bacterial small subunit ribosomal RNA", at positions 28 to 507 of the family's 1533-position model. The record is from RNAcentral.